UUGUGUAUGGUUGGGCCCAUC
Molecule: microRNA, 21 nt
Filed under: Sarcophilus harrisii (Tasmanian devil)
Lineage: Eukaryota; Metazoa; Chordata; Mammalia; Dasyuromorphia; Dasyuridae
Description: Sha-Mir-2188_3p (mature (guide))
Source: RNAcentral